This 583-nucleotide ribosomal RNA is filed under the name uncultured Burkholderia sp. Its description in RNAcentral is "bacterial SSU rRNA". It matches the Rfam family "Bacterial small subunit ribosomal RNA", at positions 102 to 681 of the family's 1533-position model. The record is from RNAcentral. Lineage: Bacteria; Pseudomonadati; Pseudomonadota; Betaproteobacteria; Burkholderiales; Burkholderiaceae.
ACGGGUGAGUAAUACAUCGGAACGUGUCCUGGAGUGGGGGAUAGCCCGGCGAAAGCCGGAUUAAUACCGCAUACGAUCUCUGGAUGAAAGCGGGGGACCGAAAGGCCUCGCGCUCAAGGGGCGGCCGAUGGCAGAUUGGCUAGUUGGUGGGGUAAAGGCCUACCAAGGCGACGAUCUGUAGCUGGUCUGAGAGGACGACCAGCCACACUGGGACUGAGACACGGCCCAGACUCCUACGGGAGGCAGCAGUGGGGAAUUUUGGACAAUGGGGGCAACCCUGAUCCAGCAAUGCCGCGUGUGUGAAGAAGGCCUUCGGGUUGUAAAGCACUUUUGUCCGGAAAGAAAACCGCUUCUCUAAUACAGAGGUGGGAUGACGGUACCGGAAGAAUAAGCACCGGCUAACUACGUGCCAGCAGCCGCGGUAAUACGUAGGGUGCGAGCGUUAAUCGGAAUUACUGGGCGUAAAGCGUGCGCAGGCGGUUCGCUAAGACCGAUGUGAAAUCCCCGGGCUUAACCUGGGAACUGCAUUGGUGACUGGCGGGCUAGAGUAUGGCAGAGGGGGGUAGAAUUCCACGUGUAGCAG